This is a long non-coding RNA of Austrofundulus limnaeus, 563 nucleotides long. RefSeq lists it as uncharacterized. The record is from RefSeq and is a predicted model, not a curated record. NCBI's taxonomy places the organism in Eukaryota, Metazoa, Chordata, Actinopteri, Cyprinodontiformes, Rivulidae. The transcript has 2 exons.
GACUGGGGGGGUCCAUACAGGUGAGGGGCUGGGUUAGCGUGGAGCUACAGCUACAAGCUAACUUAUGGCUUGUAGCUGUUGCAUCAGGUUAGCAUGGCGCUACAGCUACAAGCUAACUUUAGGCUUGUAGCUGUAGCUUCAGGUUAGCAUGGCGCUACAGUUACAAGCUAACUUUAGGCUUGUAGCUGUAUUAUCAGGUUAGCAUGAUGCCAUCUUUUAGCUCAUGUUUGAUGUGUGGAACCUUGUCUGGCUUUGGGCCUUUAACUAAAAGUAUCUGAGGGACAGUCUUAGUUUUAUUAAAACAUGCUGCAGUCAGCUCUAACUGCCAUGAUUGACAGCUGUCAGUCUUUGUGGUGUUUAAUGACCCUGAUUUCAGUUUUCAUGUUUGAAUAAAUAAAGAACACAAUUAAUUAGCUUUGUAAUCAAAAGGGAAGUUUUAACAUUUGUUGCCUAAAGACAGUCACAUGUUGCUCAGUAAUAACUAUAUUAUAUGUUGGUAUGGUUUUUAUUAUGUCAUAUAUUUAUCUGACAGUCUGGUGUUUUAUUAAACAUGUAAAGUGUUA